CAAGGACAUCGAUGUCUGUGACAAGGGGCUAGACACAUCUGGAGCUGGACACGAUUUUCCCAGUCUUUAUCUAGUAUUCUGGGGGUGGAGGGUGGGGAGAGUGCCAACAGAACUAGCACUGGUUGUGAGGACUGGACUCCUCUUCUGGUCUCUUCAGGAUGAUGAGGGUCUCAUCUUUGCAGAGUACUUCAGGUGAGGCGACUAGGCAGCCUGCAGGGCCAGCAGCAAAACUUCUAAAAUAUUGGGCUGGAGAGAUGGCUCAGUGGUUAAGAGCACCGACUGCUCUUCCAGAGGUCCUGAGUUCAAUUCCCAGCAACCAGAUGGUGGCUCACAGCCAUCUGUAAAGAGAUCUGAUGCCCUCUUCUGGUGUGUGAAGACAGCUACAGGGUACUUAUGUAUAAUAAAUGAAUAAAUCUUUU
RNAcentral lists this long non-coding RNA (419 nucleotides) under Rattus norvegicus (Norway rat). Its description in RNAcentral is "long non-coding RNA NONRATT020625". The record is from RNAcentral. Lineage: Eukaryota; Metazoa; Chordata; Mammalia; Rodentia; Muridae.